Molecule: ribosomal RNA, 1298 nt
Filed under: Escherichia coli
Lineage: Bacteria; Pseudomonadati; Pseudomonadota; Gammaproteobacteria; Enterobacterales; Enterobacteriaceae
Description: partial 23S ribosomal RNA
Rfam family: Bacterial large subunit ribosomal RNA
Source: RNAcentral
UUCGACACACUAUCAUUAACUGAAUCCAUAGGUUAAUGAGGCGAACCGGGGGAACUGAAACAUCUAAGUACCCCGAGGAAAAGAAAUCAACCGAGAUUCCCCCAGUAGCGGCGAGCGAACGGGGAGCAGCCCAGAGCCUGAAUCAGUAUGUGUGUUAGUGGAAGCGUCUGGAAAGGCGCGCGAUACAGGGUGACAGCCCCGUACACAAAAAUGCACAUGCUGUGAGCUCGAUGAGUAGGGCGGGACACGUGGUAUCCUGUCUGAAUAUGGGGGGACCAUCCUCCAAGGCUAAAUACUCCUGACUGACCGAUAGUGAACCAGUACCGUGAGGGAAAGGCGAAAAGAACCCCGGCGAGGGGAGUGAAAAAGAACCUGAAACCGUGUACGUACAAGCAGUGGGAGCACGCUUAGGCGUGUGACUGCGUACCUUUUGUAUAAUGGGUCAGCGACUUAUAUUCUGUAGCAAGGUUAACCGAAUAGGGGAGCCGAAGGGAAACCGAGUCUUAACUGGGCGUUAAGUUGCAGGGUAUAGACCCGAAACCCGGUGAUCUAGCCAUGGGCAGGUUGAAGGUUGGGUAACACUAACUGGAGGACCGAACCGACUAAUGUUGAAAAAUUAGCGGAUGACUUGUGGCUGGGGGUGAAAGGCCAAUCAAACCGGGAGAUAGCUGGUUCUCCCCGAAAGCUAUUUAGGUAGCGCCUCGUGAAUUCAUCUCCGGGGGUAGAGCACUGUUUCGGCAAGGGGGUCAUCCCGACUUACCAACCCGAUGCAAACUGCGAAUACCGGAGAAUGUUAUCACGGGAGACACACGGCGGGUGCUAACGUCCGUCGUGAAGAGGGAAACAACCCAGACCGCCAGCUAAGGUCCCAAAGUCAUGGUUAAGUGGGAAACGAUGUGGGAAGGCCCAGACAGCCAGGAUGUUGGCUUAGAAGCAGCCAUCAUUUAAAGAAAGCGUAAUAGCUCACUGGUCGAGUCGGCCUGCGCGGAAGAUGUAACGGGGCUAAACCAUGCACCGAAGCUGCGGCAGCGACGCUGAUGCGUUGUUGGGUAGGGGAGCGUUCUGUAAGCCUGCGAAGGUGUGCUGUGAGGCAUGCUGGAGGUAUCAGAAGUGCGAAUGCUGACAUAAGUAACGAUAAAGCGGGUGAAAAGCCCGCUCGCCGGAAGACCAAGGGUUCCUGUCCAACGUUAAUCGGGGCAGGGUGAGUCGACCCCUAAGGCGAGGCCGAAAGGCGUAGUCGAUGGGAAACAGGUUAAUAUUCCUGUACUUGGUGUUACUGCGAAGGGGGGACGGAGAAG